GCAUUGUCAAGAUUUUAUUUCACUAUUCCACAAUCUAACUGUCAAACUACACAUGAACAAAAAUUGAGUGGUAAAGAAAAGAAUAUAGUUGCAGAAACAGACGAAGAUGGUGAUAUUCUUGUACGAAGAUUACACCAGAAUGAAAUCGAACAGAAUGUUAUAACGUUAGGUAAUUAUAUUCAAGCUUUGAAGUGCAAUAAUUUCUGGAUUAUGUUGGUGUAUAGUCAUUAUGACAGCUAGGUUAUUAUACUUUGUGGUGGGAUUAAAUUCAUCAACAGGAAAUCGCUUGAAUGUUACCCAAGAAGGAUUCACCUACACCUAACUGAAAUAUUUCAUCUAUGAUCGGUUCUACUUAAAUGCCUGGAGUGCCUAGACUUUUAAUUACUUUAAUUACCGUAACUGCCCGUACCAGCAAAUUUCACUGAAAAAAUGUGCAAUGUAGUUCUAUCCUCAUUCUUUUCGACUAUAUUAAGAAAAAAGAAAGAAAUAUUUACUCUUUUUGAAAGGUUGUUCACUUGUUCAACAUUUUAAUGUUCAAGUGCACAUUGUAAAAGCAUACCGUAAACCUCCCAAUAUACGCCCAGGGGAUUAUAUUAGUGCGCAUUAUAUUAUAGUUCGUAAGCAUUUUGAUUGUCUUAUACAUCGAGUGCUGGCUUAUAUGCGGACAUUUGCUGUUAGUAAUAAUAUUUAUUGCACCUGUAAAUUAUACCGUCAACGAAAAGAAAUAUACACAUACAGUAUAUAAGACAUAGUAAAACAAGUUGAUUAACGUAUUAUACAGGGUAAUACUGUGAUGUAAUUAUCAUCAGUCGUUGGUGCUGUUGGAAUCCCUGUCGCCCAAUAGGGGACUUAUAUUCGGAGGUCUACGGUACUCGAAAUACCGUUGAGCUAACAAUAUAUACUAGAGUUUUGUAUUUUGUUUUACUGUUAUACAUAAAUGAAAUUGUGAUUUAUAUUGCUGAACACUCCUUGGCAACUCCUAUAAUAAGCGUUGGCACACAGGGUUGGGUUUCUUCCCACUGGGGAUUAGAGGUACCUGUUGACAUGGAUCGUAACUACCCUGCCCCUGUCUGACCUUUGCAUUAUCCUUGGGAUCUCUGAAUUAAUCAUGUUGUUAAACAUAAACUUUAUUGCAGAACACUCCCUGGCAACUCCCAUAUCAAGUGUUGGCACUCAGGCUAGUAUUAAAGGGAAUACAAUACGGAUUAUAAGAUCGUGAUGUGAUGAUUAGUUUUACAGUGUAGCUUAUCAAAUCAAUCAUGAUAUGUCAAUAAUGUCAUAAAUGCAUGUUCUGUACUAACGAUUGUCCGACUGCAGUUUUCUGUUAACUUUGUUGUUAACGAGGAUUAAUUACUGGAUGCUCAUUGGUUAAGAGGAGUACAAUUAUUUCAUUAAUUGUACUGCAGUACAAUUAAUGAUUUUCCCAAAACAAACAAAAUGGCGGAAAGGUAUUUUUAACACAAAUGUGAAAUGAAUUUGCAACUAGAUGAAAAUACGAACAAAAGCACCAAAUUUUGCUUUAACAAAGGAACUAAAUUAAAAUACGAAUUAAUUAUUAAAGUACCAAAUUUUUGGUGAAAGUCUGGCAGGACUGGGCUUUGGCGAGAGAAUAUGAUGUUGACGGAGAAGUAUCCAAUUUUGUCAUAUGCUAAUAUGCCCGUGACCGGCGGCUCGUCCAAUUUUGGCAAAAUUUCCAAACAUCACUCGUACUAUUAAUCCCUAAUUGUACUCACCAUCGCAUGAUUACCUAUAGUUAUUGUACAGUUUAUUUGUAUAUUACUUCUUCUGAACAAAUGUAGAGUUGCUAGGGUUUUUUCAAUCCAAUUGGUUAAUCUGGGGCCGGUUGUAUAAAAGAGUAUAGUUAAGGUUUACCGCAAUUAGUGCGGUUAGUUUGCUGCAGGACAGUAACCAGUCAGAAUCGGGUAUUUGAGAGAUAACUGCUACUUAACUACAAACGGGUAGCUAAAAAGUAGUUACUGUUACUGUAAGCCUUUUAUACAGCCGGCCCUGGAUCUAACAAUCAAGCCUGGAUGACUUAUAUUAUUUAUUAUACUUGCUAUAAUUAUGCUAAAGUAUUUUUCAAUAAUAUAGGUAUGGCGAGGUUCUUUGCUCCUUUGUGAUUUUCUUCUCCACCAUGAAAAGGAGU
Non-coding RNA from Paramuricea clavata, 2146 nucleotides. The record is from the annotation of a GenBank genome assembly. Lineage: Eukaryota; Metazoa; Cnidaria; Anthozoa; Malacalcyonacea; Plexauridae.